CUUAAAUUACACAAAAUUAUCAUUACACCCUUGUGAUGAAUUUGGAUGUAAUAUUGUCAGUCACUGUUGGGCAUCCAGACUGUCUUGAAGGGACCCAGCAACCUGCCUGUAAUCUGGCGGGUAAACAGUGUUUGGCUGCAGCCCAGUCCCUGCACAGCAUUUUGAUCACACUCCUGUGACAGGGAACACCUGUGGACGACUGCUGAAGAUAAGACUUGUCAAGCACGCUGAGAAGCAGCAUAGUCCCUGCAUACCAAUGGCCUGGAGGACAAACAGCGUCUCAAGGUAAUUCUAUUCUGAAGGCCUUUUCACCAACAUGGGUGCUGGAAUUUUAAUUAGCUCUGUUAAUGUGGAUGAUUAAAUCAACCUGGCACUGGUAAUCUCUGAGCAAAGAAAAGAGCUGAAAUAAUCCUGCGCAGAGAUAUUCCCUCCCUGCUCGUCUUUUGACAAUUUCCGUGUUGCCUGGAGUGCAUACUGUAUGACACAUUUGGAUUCAAGAUGAAAUGCAGCCGUUAUUUGUUUCAGCUCA
Molecule: long non-coding RNA, 529 nt
Filed under: Dicentrarchus labrax (European seabass)
Lineage: Eukaryota; Metazoa; Chordata; Actinopteri; Moronidae
Description: lncRNA (ENSDLAG00005029180.1)
Source: RNAcentral